AAAUUGAAGAGUUUGAUCAUGGCUCAGAUUGAACGCUGGCGGCAGGCCUAACACAUGCAAGUCGAACGGUAACAGGAAGCAGCUUGCUGCUUCGCUGACGAGUGGCGGACGGGUGAGUAAUGUCUGGGAAACUGCCUGAUGGAGGGGGAUAACUACUGGAAACGGUAGCUAAUACCGCAUAACGUCGCAAGACCAAAGAGGGGGACCUUCGGGCCUCUUGCCAUCGGAUGUGCCCAGAUGGGAUUAGCUUGUUGGUGGGGUAACGGCUCACCAAGGCGACGAUCCCUAGCUGGUCUGAGAGGAUGACCAGCCACACUGGAACUGAGACACGGUCCAGACUCCUACGGGAGGCAGCAGUGGGGAAUAUUGCACAAUGGGCGCAAGCCUGAUGCAGCCAUGCCGCGUGUAUGAAGAAGGCCUUCGGGUUGUAAAGUACUUUCAGCGGGGAGGAAGGGAGUAAAGUUAAUACCUUUG
RNAcentral lists this ribosomal RNA (474 nucleotides) under Escherichia coli. RNAcentral's name for it is "bacterial SSU rRNA". It matches the Rfam family "Bacterial small subunit ribosomal RNA", at positions 1 to 471 of the family's 1533-position model. The record is from RNAcentral. Lineage: Bacteria; Pseudomonadati; Pseudomonadota; Gammaproteobacteria; Enterobacterales; Enterobacteriaceae.